RNAcentral lists this ribosomal RNA (198 nucleotides) under uncultured eukaryote. RNAcentral's name for it is "partial large subunit ribosomal RNA". The record is from RNAcentral.
AGCCACGUCGGUGACGAUCAAGUGAACGUCGAUGAGAAUCGACGCCGGUUUUUCAAGGCCAUUGGUGUGCCUGAUGCAGCAAAGGCUGUUUAUCAGAAUCAGGUCCAUUCGGCAACGGUUCGGGUCGUUAGUGGCGAGGAAGGCAUCGUGCAUGAGUGCGAUGGACUCAUCACUUCUGAGACCGAUAGCGCACAAGUA